GGCAUGCCUAACACAUGCAAGUCGAACGGCAGCGCGGGAGCUUGCUCUGGCGGCGAGUGGCGGACGGGUGAGUAACGCGUAGGAAUCUGCCUGGUGGUGGGGGACAACUCGGGGAAACUCGAGCUAAUACCGCAUACGCCCUACGGGGGAAACGGGGGAUCUUCGGACCUCGCGCCAUCAGAUGAGCCUGCGUCCGAUUAGCUUGUUGGUGGGGUAACGGCCUACCAAGGCGACGAUCGGUAGCUGGUCUGAGAGGACGAUCAGCCACACUGGGACUGAGACACGGCCCAGACUCCUACGGGAGGCAGCAGUGGGGAAUAUUGGACAAUGGGCGAAAGCCUGAUCCAGCAAUGCCGCGUGUGCUGAAGAAGGCCUGCGGGUUGUAAAGCACUUUCAGUAAGGGAAGAAAAGCCUGGCGCUAAUACCGUCGGGUCUUGACGUCACCUACAGAAGAAGCACCGGCUAACUCCGUGCCAGCAGCCGCGGUAAUACGGAGGGUGCGAGCGUUAAUCGGAAUUACUGGGCGUAA
This 529-nucleotide ribosomal RNA is filed under the name uncultured Thioalkalivibrio sp. RNAcentral's name for it is "bacterial SSU rRNA". It matches the Rfam family "Bacterial small subunit ribosomal RNA", at positions 41 to 563 of the family's 1533-position model. Lineage: Bacteria; Pseudomonadati; Pseudomonadota; Gammaproteobacteria; Chromatiales; Ectothiorhodospiraceae. The record is from RNAcentral.